GUUAGUUCGGGUACAGGCAGUAUGUUCCAUCCCCACCUCUUGAUUGUAUGAUGGCGACGGAUAUUGAUGUUGAUUGGAUUUGUUACCAUCAGAGCGUUAUCGCUGUGAUCCGUCCAACUACCCUAGCCACCACUCCAUCUGAUGUAGAAGAUGAUUAUCUGGAGUGGUAUUAUUGUGUUUCGCAUCCACGGUUGGUCCCUCCCCAUCGUGACGAUCCAAGAGAGGUACCAGUUCCUGUAUAUGACGCCGGACCAUCUGAUCCUGAUUGGGCUCGUGUAUCUACAUUGAUUCAUCGCUAUCUGAGACAAGUUAAUGCUGAAGAGGAAGAUCCACAGUUUGCUGAUUUAUUUGAAGCUUUGCAUAUUUCUCGUUCACAUUGAUUUAUGUAUUAAGUUUUAGAACUGAAUAUAAUAGACAUAAUAUAAAAUUCAUGUUUUGAUUAC
This 443-nucleotide long non-coding RNA is filed under the name Lathyrus oleraceus (garden pea). RNAcentral describes it as "Pisum sativum (pea) long non-coding RNA (PSAT_LNC033225)". Lineage: Eukaryota; Viridiplantae; Streptophyta; Magnoliopsida; Fabales; Fabaceae. The record is from RNAcentral.